GAUAGAUGAAAGAUAGUUCCUAUCAGAAGGAUCUCGUCCAGGCAUUUCAACAAAAAGAUCAUGAUCGCAUAUAAUUUGUAAAAAGGUAAGCUUGCAGUCAUGCAGCACCGUUUGACACACUCCAGAGAACUUAUCGAGAUACAAGGACACCAGUUCAAAAACCUGACGAGGCUCAAUGAUGGAUAAAAGAUCAUAACAAAAGAAAGCCAAACUACUAUUUAAAUGCUUGGCCAAGCUUAGACCUUUCUUGCAGCGUUCAUGAACUUCUGUUAAAAGGCAAUCAUACAACUGAACAACACAUCUGAAAACACCUUCUUUCAAUUGCAUUGGCGGGACAUCUUCA
RNAcentral lists this unclassified non-coding RNA (343 nucleotides) under Hevea brasiliensis (rubber tree). Lineage: Eukaryota; Viridiplantae; Streptophyta; Magnoliopsida; Malpighiales; Euphorbiaceae. The record is from RNAcentral.